RNAcentral lists this ribosomal RNA (484 nucleotides) under uncultured bacterium. Its description in RNAcentral is "partial 16S ribosomal RNA". It matches the Rfam family "Bacterial small subunit ribosomal RNA", at positions 30 to 507 of the family's 1533-position model. The record is from RNAcentral.
AUUGAACGCUGGCGGCAUGCCUUACACAUGCAAGUCGAACGGCAGCGCGGACUUCGGCCUGGCGGCGAGUGGCGAACGGGUGAGUAAUACAUCGGAACGUACCCUGUUGUGGGGGAUAACUAGUCGAAAGAUUAGCUAAUACCGCAUACGACCUGAGGGUGAAAGUGGGGGACCGCAAGGCCUCACGCAGCAGGAGCGGCCGAUGCCGGAUUAGCUAGUUGGUAGGGGAAAGGCCCACCAAGGCGACGAUCAGUAGCUGACCUGAGAGGGCGAUCAGCCACACUGGAACGGAGACACGGUCCAGACUCCUACGGGAGGCAGCAGUAGGGAAUCUUCCGCAAUGGGCGAAAGCCUGACGGAGCAACGCCGCGUGAGUGAUGAAGGUCUUCGGAUCGUAAAACUCUGUUAUUAGGGAAGAACAAAUGUGUAAGUAACUAUGCACGUCUUGACGGUACCUAAUCAGAAAGCCACGGCUAACUACGUG